RNAcentral lists this unclassified non-coding RNA (230 nucleotides) under plant metagenome. RNAcentral describes it as "partial contains small subunit ribosomal RNA, internal transcribed spacer 1, and 5.8S ribosomal RNA". The record is from RNAcentral.
UCUCCGUAGGUGAACCUGCGGAGGGAUCAUUACAGAGUUCUCGCCCUCACGGGUAGAUCUCCCACCCACUGUUAUCGCUACUGUCGUUUCUUUGGCGGGCCGCCGGGUCCCCGGCCGCCGGCGCCUAGCUGCCGGCGCGCGCCCGCCAGAGGCCUUCAAACUCUGAAUGUUAGUGUCGUCUGAGUACUAUAUAAUAGUUAAAACUUUCAACAACGGAUCUCUUGGUUCUG